CUGGUCAAUUAUGAGCAUUUCCUUCAUUGUCUACUCAUUGUGAAGAAUAGCAGUGCCCCAUUCUGCAGGUUCUGAAGCCGUACUCCAUCUUCUCAGCACCACUGGAACACCUCUUCACUUGUGCACUUCACAAAUUGCUGCAUGCCCUGCCAUCACAGAGUUAAUUUAACCAGCUGUUAAAAUGACUGUUAUAUUAGUAUUUUUCACCUAUGUGGUAUUACUUAAAAAGCUGAUGAUUAAAAAGAAGGUGAAAGAACAGGCUGAAAUAGUAAUUCACAGUGCAAAAAUGAUGAAGUGAUGAAGAAAUUAUAGCUUGUGAAGCCCAAAAAAGCCAAUCAGACCACCUACUGGACUUGUGACAGUUUCAUUAAGAUGAGAGACUGAAGAGAGAGAAAGAUGAUUGGGUUUUAAAAAUUGGUCUCCUGACAUGGGGGAUGCGGAGAAGCUGGGUUUGCACGUGGUGGCAGUGCUCUCCUGCACUGCUGGCAGCCCUGGCUGUCCCAGAUGCUGCUUCUGCCUGCAGAAGAUGGAGGGGGAGUGUGGGCUCUGGGGCUCAUUUUCUGCCUAAUAUUUUCUUAAUUCAUUUUAAAUACUCCUCCUCUGCACUCAUGGAGCUCUGCUAUUUUACAGCUUUUAUUAUUGUAUGAAGUUUCUCUUUGAAAAGAAAGAGAAGAAAGGAGGCACUGGAAAUGGCUGAACAUGUUUCUAUUUCAGAACGGUGGGAGCCUCUGUUAUUCAGUGUCCCUUGAGAUUACGGAUAGAUGGUGGAGAAGAUGUGAAUGAGACCAUAUUUGAUAGUUCAUUUCUGGCUGGCACAGCACUGCCACUCAUGGACCAUCUCCCUCCCUUCCUCCCUCCCUUCUUUCCUUCCUUCCUUGGUUCGUUCAUUCCUUCCUUGCUUCCUUCCUUCCUCUCAACUCUGUCACCAUCUGUAGUGUUUCUUUGCAGUAUGUUGCAACACAGACCUACUGGUCCUACUGCAGAUGUCGGAAGUUAGUGUAUAGUUUUAUUGUUAUCUGUAGAACAGCAGUGGGAACAUGGCUUUGUCAACUCAGUUUUGUUGUGGUUCCAUAGCAUUAACUGCCUUUCUCAAAGCUUCUGUCUGAAUUCCUAUGGCAUGCCAAGAACCUCAUCUUUUGUUCAUGUUAUGAAAGGAAUGUGUGGUUUUUCUGGUGGUGUGGAAGAACUUGACAGUGUGAACAAAACAAGGAUUUUGACAGAAAAAAAACAAGUUUUCUUUUGUCCAAGAAAACGCAAGGCGCUGUUGACCAGAUUUUUGCUGACCUCUAAUGGUCAACAUGGAGUGAAUUUCCAUAAUAAAGCAUUAAUGAGUGUG
Molecule: long non-coding RNA, 1336 nt
Filed under: Gallus gallus (chicken)
Lineage: Eukaryota; Metazoa; Chordata; Aves; Galliformes; Phasianidae
Description: long non-coding RNA NONGGAT011862
Source: RNAcentral